RNAcentral lists this unclassified non-coding RNA (1126 nucleotides) under Hevea brasiliensis (rubber tree). The record is from RNAcentral. Lineage: Eukaryota; Viridiplantae; Streptophyta; Magnoliopsida; Malpighiales; Euphorbiaceae.
UUCAGAACCCCAACUGAGCAAGAGAGCAAGUUGCUGUCAAGUGAAAAAUGAUAAGAAUUUACAGUAAUUCAUAGAACAUAUAUAGCCCUAUAAUUGACAAUAACACUUCCCAGUUCAGCCACUCCAAGAAGGCCUAAAAGACAUGCAAAUAGGGGGAUUGAUCCUGAAAAUUGAGAGGAUAGCUGAUGGUAUUGUCCAGAGUCCAUCACCACAUAUCAAACCUGAAGCAACUGCACCUGCAUAAUCCUCUGAAUCCUUCUUAUUUCUUCUUUCCCAAAAAUAUGAUAUCAAUGUCCCAACAAACAUGUCAAUGGCAAAGUUAGCUCCUACGAAAAUUGGGAUGGACAUUGCCAUUGGAAUAGGAAUAUAUCUAAAUAUUUUCAAGGGAAUUACAUCCCUCAGAAUGUUCAUAACCAGAGCCAAGAUAAAGAAACUGCAAAAUAUACAUAGGGAGUACUUAGGCAGCUCAGAGAAGCCCUCAAUGCCAAGAAUUGCCAUUUGUCUGAACAGAAUUGCAUAUGGAGCACUGUAAGGUCCAUGAGGGGAUCCAACGUCAAAAGCAGUCCAAAACAACCAGAAGGUUAAUGGGGCAACAACACAACCUAUUGCUGUGCCUGCUAACUGGCUCACAAACAUAGCAUUUGGAGAAGAUAGAGUAAGAUAACCUGUCCUGAAAUCUUGCAUGAGAUCAGCUGCAGUAGAGGCACUGGUUACAAUAACACCACAGGCUGCCAAGCCAGCUAUUACUCCGCCAUUCCUUCCAACUAAUGAAGCAAUAAUGAAAAUGCCAAUUUUUCCGUAGGUCGAGAGCAUGCUCAUGUCAGUGAGCCCAGUGCCAUAGGAGUUGCAGAAGGCAAGGAUGGGCGCAAUAAUACAAGAGAUGAGAACUACAUACCACUUAAGUGGUGGAAAGAUGAAUGGUAAUGUCGCUGCUGAAACUGUAGCCACAAUUAUGAAUCCACCAGCCGCAAACCAAGAGGGAAUUCUCUCUUUGAGGAAUACCUCUUUUCUUAGCUUUUGUUCCAUAUCUAGUUUAUAGUUCUCAUAGAUAGGAAGGUCAUCCUGCACAGUGCCAUUGUGCAUUGUCUUCAGAGUAACUGCUAUUAUCUUGAUCAAAUUGUAAAGG